CCUACGGGUGGCAGCAGUGAGGAAUAUUUGUCAAUGGACGAGAGUCUGAACCAGCCACGUCGCGUGAAGGAUGACUGCCCUAUGGGUUGUAAACUUCUUUUAUAUGGGAAUAAAAUGUUCCACGUGUGGGAUUUUGUAUGUACCAUAUGAAUAAGGAUCGGCUAACUGCGUGCCAGCAGCCGCGGUAAUACGGAGGAUCCGAGCGUUAUCCGGAUUUAUUGGGUUUAAAGGGAGCGUAGGUGGAUUGUUAAGUCAGUUGUGAAAGUUUGGGGCUCAACCGUAAAAUUGCAGUUGAAACUGGCAGUCUUGAGUACAGGAGAGGUGGGCGGAAUUCGUGGUGUAGCGGUGAAAUGCUUAGAUAUCACGAAGAACACCGAUUGCGAAGGCAGUUCACUGGACUGCAACUGACACUGAGGCUCGAAAGUGUGGGUAUCAAACAGGAUUAGAUACCCGUGUAGUC
This 460-nucleotide ribosomal RNA is filed under the name uncultured bacterium. RNAcentral's name for it is "partial 16S ribosomal RNA". It matches the Rfam family "Bacterial small subunit ribosomal RNA", at positions 338 to 795 of the family's 1533-position model. The record is from RNAcentral.